UUAUUAUUGGUAGUUUUCAUGUGCUGACCCCAGGAAUACAUAGAUAGAUUAACCCAGAGGAACUCUAGGGAAACUUACGUUAAGUCUUAUGUCGCUUUCCUCCAGACAUCAUGGGAACAGACAUGUCUUGGAGAGAUGCACACUGGGAUCUGUCCAGGAUCAGAAACUCCUGGAGCCAGAGGAGGUAGCCAGCCAGAGGUACUGCUCAAGGACUUCUCUCCAAAGCUUCGAGUCAUGAAAGUGCUCAGCCCAAGGGCAGGUGGCAUCUCCUCAACCAUGAGGGAACAGAGGCUCAGCCAGCACGUUGAGGCACCAGAAUUCAAAAGCCCAGUAUCCUCCCAGGACUCCAUCAAAGCAGAUGUGCAGAGGGCAGGAAGGGCCUGAGCAGAACCAGCGCCCCUGGGGGGGGGGCCCACGGAACCUUCAGGAAAAUAAGACAGGCACAGGAAAGAGAUGUUGAGGGUCUGAAGACAAAGCCACAAUGAAAGCCACCAUUCUGGGUUUGGGAAUGUAAAGAACUUCAAACCAGAUAAAUGAAGACUGCAGAAGAAAGAGGAAGAAAUGGAAGUUGCUCUCUGACAGGACAACAUGAAUUUGGCAAGGGGUGGAUUAGGCCGAGUGCUAUCCACGGUGAUGAAACGCAGCAGCCGGUGGUCAUGAAAUAUUUAUGAAUGGGGAGAGGAUGCUGCAUUCUGCAGUGCAGCACAGGGGAAAGCGAAGUUUCCAGAAUACUGUAAUAGCAAAACCCUCUAUUCAUUAUCGGAAGCAAGCUGUAAUGCCAGUUCCUAUGGCAACGGGGUCCCCAAUGGAUUUUGUGCUUUUUUUUUUUUUUUUUUUUUUUAAAGCUACUCCCAUUUACUAUGGUACAUUGCAUUUGUUUUCUACUGGAGGUUUUGUGCUUGUCCUCUGCAAAUGAAUUCAUACUGUCCUCACAGUGGCUGGUGUGGAGACCGACAGGCUGGGGCCUGGGGAAAGUUAAACAUUAUGCAACUUUGAGCUAAAUGUUUUGUAAGGACAUUGAUGACUGCUACCAGCACUUUCACUUCUGAGGGGAAAAGAAGGGGAGGGCAGGAAAGAGGUGGGGAAGGGAAUAACUAAGGUGCAUGGCUAAUUAGAGGGCAUCUAUCCCAGCCCCUACAGGCAUGAUCUUUGCAACCCAGGCUUGCACCAGGGAAGAGUCCUUGAACCCAGCCGGGCUCUCCAACAACGUGCCUGCUACAGCUGCAGUGGAAGCUGAUACUUGCACAGAAAGCUCAGACACAGAGUCCUCUGGGGUAGGGGUGUUGGAGAGAACAGUGGCUUGGUUCCCAGGGGAGCAGGCUGCCCCUCCCAGAGAAGCGCUGCAGGCCUCCUCCACCUGUAGGCCAAUUCCUCUGCACCACGCCCCCAUUACUUAUCACUUCCCCCUCAGUGUGAAGUGGGAGUUUAAUUCGGUGGUCCUUUGAAUGCGGGUCUUCCAGGGGAGAUGUUUCUGUGAUUGCCUGGCCAUGGACUGCUGUUCACAGAGACAGUCUGUCCCAGGCCACAGGAGCGCCUCAGAGCCUCUCUGGGGCGUGGGUGAAGCGGUCAACAGCGGCUUCCUCCAUCUUGCCCCGGACAGCUUGAUGACGGAAUAGUCCGCCACUCACUCAGAAAGAGGCUGCCUCCAGGGGGGCAAAAUUGUACGUGUCCCUCUCAGGGCUGCAGCUGUGACUUGGGAGGUGUCCUGUCUCUUUGGUGGCCUCAUGAGGGCUGUGUGGGUCCUGAUAAAUGGCAUAGGAUGGGGAGUCCCCUUAAUGGGGGCCAGUACAGGUCUCCUGUCCAUGGGGCUAUUCCAGGCUAAAAAUAGAUUCUACCGCUGCAGAAUGACUGUGCUGGCUCUACUGUGCUUUCUAAGUCACCAAAGGGACUCACAAGCAUGUGUGAGCAGAACUGGGAGGAUGCCAGAAGAGGGAUGAAAUAACAAUUGUGUAUGCAUAUCUUUCUUUUUGUGGAAUUCUACCUGGAGCCAUAGGAAUGCGACUUACCACUCAUGGGAAAGGCUUGCCCAGAGCCAAGGAGGAGCUGCGGGGACGUUUCUCCCAAGUCAUCCGUUCUCCGCAUUUAGACUUCAUCCUUAGGACGGACCUUCAGGCCCCCAGGCUGCCUACUGACCUCCCUGGCAUGGGUGGGAACCGGGAGCUCAUUGGUAAGCAGGAGGAUUCAGGACUAUCGACUGAACCCCACUCCUCUGUGGCACGCACCGUGCUGUGACUUUGGGGUCAUCAUCUCUCAUCCGCUCUGCACAGGAAGAUUAUCUCCCCCACUUUGUAAUGAGGAAAUGGAGGCUGCAGGAGGAAAGAUGCAACCUGGGCCAGAGGCCCCUGGAGGCUGUGCCUGACCCCAGACAGCUCAGACGAACCUGGGCAGCCAUUAGCAGCUGUGUGGGCUCCUUUGCACUGUGGGGCUGCUCCUGGGGUGAGAGAUGUCUUCGUUGUAUAUGGGGUUCGGGGGCUGAGCUGGCUCACUUGCAAAAGACACACUUGGCCCAGCCCUGGGCAGCAUCCAGCCUGCUUAGGUGGCUUUCUGUGGGCUUGGCCACAGACACUGAGACCUUUCUCUGUUUCACUUCCUUGUGUCAGCUUGGCUGUGUGUGAACCAAGGAAUCACAAGCACACACCUCUCUGAGCUCACACUUGUAUAAAGUUGGACUGAAGAGCUUGGUGAAUCAAAGUUCAAGAAGGGUGACUUGGCCAGACUUGGUGGCUCACUCCUGUAAU
Molecule: long non-coding RNA, 2738 nt
Organism: Chlorocebus sabaeus (green monkey)
Lineage: Eukaryota; Metazoa; Chordata; Mammalia; Primates; Cercopithecidae
Source: RefSeq, a predicted model, not a curated record